AUGAACGCUGGCGGCGUGCCUAACACAUGCAAGUCGUGCGAGAAACCGGCUUCGGCCGGGAGUACAGCGGCGGACGGGUGAGUAACACGUGGACAACCUGCCUGGAUGUGGGGGAUAACCUGGGGAAACUCGGGCUAAUACCGCAUACGCUUCCGGGGCCUCGGCUCCGGUUCGCAAAGGUGGCCCCUCGCUUGCAAGCUACCGCGUCCAGAGGGGUCCGGCGUCCGAUUAGCUGGUUGGUGAGGUAACGGCUCACCAAGGCAACGAUCGGUAGCCGGCCUGAGAGGGC
RNAcentral lists this ribosomal RNA (289 nucleotides) under uncultured bacterium. RNAcentral describes it as "partial 16S ribosomal RNA". It matches the Rfam family "Bacterial small subunit ribosomal RNA", at positions 29 to 301 of the family's 1533-position model. The record is from RNAcentral.